This is a non-coding RNA of Ictidomys tridecemlineatus (thirteen-lined ground squirrel), 71 nucleotides long. The record is from Rfam. Lineage: Eukaryota; Metazoa; Chordata; Mammalia; Rodentia; Sciuridae.
GGGGUUGUGGCUCAGUGGUAGAGCACUUGCCUAGCAUGUGUGAGGUACUGGGUUCAAGUCUCAGCACUUCA